UUGAAUGAGCAAAAUGGCAUGAUUCAACACUUCAUGAAUUGUUUGUUAGAAUCAUCCAAUUCGCACUCGCUUUAACUAAACUACAAUAUAAAUAGAAAUCAACAAGAACUACCAUUUGCCAGAAAACUCCUCUUCGAUAAUAAAUCAAUCCUUACACUCAAAGAGAUUUCUAAAACAAACAAUGGCUGGAGAAUUCAGACUACACCAACUUUUCUCUGAAAUAGAGAAAGAAGAAACAUUUAUAGAGGAGCGCAAAGAACUCCUUAUAGUUAUAGCCGGGGAAUUCUCUAUCUUCUUUGAAUGAGGAGGGAGAGUACUCAUUCCCCUUCCUCUGGUCGAGUGGCUUCACUCCUAUAAAGCUAGUUCUCACUUUCGAGCUCUUACUCCUCAUUGAAAAAUAAAGCACGGAGGGAGAAGGUUGACUUUGAGAAAGAAGGCGUUCGUUGCCACUUUAUUAGUAAGUUUACCUCAAAGAAAAGUUGGUGUAGUCUAAAUUCUCCAGCCAUUGUUCUAGAAAUCUCUUAGAGCGGGCGCGAAUUGGAUGAUUCAACAAACAAUUCAUCAGUUGUUGAAUAAUGCCAUUUUGCUGAUUCAACUUUCUGAUAAAACUAUAAUCAUUGUGUGGUAAAGUGGGUUUAGAUUCGAAGAAGUCAUCACUUGUUGCUCAUUUCGCCCACUAUUGGCCUCAACCAAUAGAAGCCUUUAUUUAUUUCCGUAAAUGAACAUCUUUUGUUAGGGAACACAUGUUCCUUUGGACCAAAGGUAGAGCCAAAAUUUCCUUUGUUAGACGGAAAAAGGGUAGUGUAACUCUGAUAUGUUUGUUUGAUCGUUCUUUCUUCGAGUGGGUUUAUGUGAGUGUUGCACAUUGUAACUCCAACUAUCUAGUUUCUUGCUAGAGAUGUCGUUUUUGUCUGUGAAUAUAUUGAUGUUUUUGUUGCAGGCCAAAAUAAGGAAAAACAAAUGAGACAUCUUUGAAAACAAUGGUUUGCGUGAGUUUUUAUCUUCAAUAUUAAAUAUAUUUUGAUUCAAUAAAGAAAAAUCAUAGUACUGACAUAGUCUUAUUUAUUGACUUCAAAAUCAAAAUAUGUUAAUGGCAUUAUCAUUUUAAUUAAUCAUACCAUAGUCCUUAUAGUAUAAGAUAUCCAACAAAAAAUAGGUUGCUGCACUUUUCCACAAGUCUGGCUGUGUUGAUGGAAUGCCGGUAUUACUACGUAAAGAAUGUUUACAAAUCAUUAAUCACCUUUUUUACCAAACGCUCCAAAAAGAAAGAGAGAGGGUAGGAGAAAGAAAAAGGGGGUGUCGGUCUGCUUCCGGCGAACUCCCAGUCGAUGAUGGCAAUCAGAUAGAAGAUCCAAGGGGUGGUCAUGGAAUCUAGUGGUUCCUUUGAAGACUCGAGUGACGAUGGCCUAAAACAA
Helianthus annuus (common sunflower) is the source of this 1415-nucleotide long non-coding RNA. RefSeq lists it as uncharacterized. The record is from RefSeq and is a predicted model, not a curated record. The transcript has 2 exons. NCBI's taxonomy places the organism in Eukaryota, Viridiplantae, Streptophyta, Magnoliopsida, Asterales, Asteraceae.